This 167-nucleotide unclassified non-coding RNA is filed under the name uncultured Ascomycota. RNAcentral describes it as "sequence contains ITS1". Lineage: Eukaryota; Fungi; Ascomycota. The record is from RNAcentral.
AAGAGUUGCAAAACUCCCUAAACCAUUGUGAACCUACCUUCAAACCGUUGCUUCGGCGGGUUCGGCGCCCUCGCGCGCCCCCGGCCCCACCUCGGGGCGGCCCGCCGGAGGUACCUAACUCUUGAACAUUGUAUGGCCUCUCUGAGUCUUCUGUACUGAAUAAGUCA